Long non-coding RNA from Bubalus bubalis (water buffalo), 5955 nucleotides. RefSeq lists it as uncharacterized. The transcript has 2 exons. The record is from RefSeq and is a predicted model, not a curated record. NCBI's taxonomy places the organism in Eukaryota, Metazoa, Chordata, Mammalia, Artiodactyla, Bovidae.
GGCUGCUGUCUAUGGGGUCGCACAGAGUCGGACAUGACUGAAGCGACUUGGCAGCAGCAGCAGUGAUAUUUAUAAAGCAUUGAUCCUAUCCUGGCUAAAUCAGAGAUGCUGAAAUCAUAUUGAUCCAGGAGGGUUUGUUCAUAGGGGUGAGUGGUUGAGGGAGAUGUCAAACACAGUUAUUGGAGGAGAGGCUUCAAGUGCCUAAGAGAACAUGCUGGAUGUUCCAUUUAUGUCCACACUUAUCUGUGCAUGAAAUCAGCAAGAAAAGGAGAAACAGUGCAGGAGAGAGUGAUCGUGAGCCAGAAGCUAAAGGAAUCCGAAAUGAGCAGGUGCAGUCGGGGAGUGGUAGCAAUUGAUGGGUGACUACUUGAGAGAAAAGCUCAGGGUUUUAGCAAGGGAGAAUGGUAUGGAGGCAGUUGUGCUGUCAAAGAGGACAUGCACUCCAUCUCCAGGCCCAGAAGAAGAAGGGCAAACAUUGCUGCCAUCUGGGAGGGUGGCAGGGGAGCAGUGCUCUUGGGAAGGGCCCCAGGUGGAAGAAACAUUCAGAGAAGAGGCUGAGGAUAUAAGAGAAUUGCUGAAGGAGGACUGUGAAUCCAGAGGGCACAAUGCACCCUGGAGGGGUCUUGUGGUUUGAGGAUCUUGUGAUUGGAAGGUGGAUAUCGCAUGAGGGAGGUGAAAAGCCUGAUGGGAAGUCAAGAAUAAGAGAAGUGGGGUGACCUGGGAGCCUGGACUUCUUGUGGCCAGUGAUACAGACAAGUCUAAAAAGCAAGGUGCAAUUAGUCCUAGGGGACACCCUGGACUGAGUUUUGAGUCCUGUCAGCAGAUGCAAGGGGGUCUGGAGAAACAUGGGAUUAGUCCCACUCAGAGCCCCUUCUCCAACCCACAGGCUCCUUCUUCAGCCCUGAGGAUGGGAAGAAAGAUGGUUCAGUGGAGUAGGUCUAAGAGAUGUGAUAAAGACACUGUCCCACUCUCAGGAUGCUCACCUUUAGAGAGAGAGGAAAUAGGUGCUCAUGCAACGAUGCUUCAGUGGACAAACCAGAGCAGAGGUCACUGAACAGUUUGCUCUGUGCACAUUAUAGAAAGCAGAGUAAGCAUGCUGUCGACCUUUCUGCGUGUGGCUGGGCAGCUGUGCAUGAGCCCCACCCAGCAGGGACAAAGCAGGUGCUUCCAAGAAGAAAAGGCCGGUGUCAGAAGCAGCCCCAGGAAAGAUUACGUAUUACUCAUCAACCUUAAAAUUUCAAGUUCAGUGCUUUUUUUUUUUUUUUUUUGAGCCCUGGCAAUGUGUUGGAUUCAUGUGAACUUCAUUAAAAAAUAAAACAAACAGAGUUCUAACUUGUCUGACUCAAAAAACAUUUCAUUGUUUCUUUAGGGAGAAAUAGAUUAGAAAAGACAAAGUUGAUUAUGCAGAAUAAGGAAAAAACAACUCUGAACUUUUAACCUGCAUGAGUUGUCAUUAGAAUCUUGGAAUCAUGGAAUUCCAGAAUGUAGAGCAGUAGUUCUCCAUGUUAUCUGUAUGUUAGUGUCACCUUGGGAGCUUUCAAAAAGUGAAAACCAACCAAACAAAACGUCCCAAUGCUGAGCCCCAACCCCAGAUAUUCUGAUUGAACUGCUCAGGUGUGAGAGCCUGGAGUCUGGGAGUAUUUAAGAGCUCUGAGUAAUCCUAAUGCAGCAAGAGUUGAGCCUUACUGGUAGAAAUAGAAUGCAAGGCACAUGUGCAAUUUUAAAUGAUCGAGUGGCCAAAUUAAAAAGAUAGAAACAAAGUAUAAUUUUAGUAAUAUGUCUUACUUAACCCAAUAUGUCCAAUAUAUUCUUUUAACAUGUAAUCAGUAUAAAACACUAAUAAUGAGGUAGUUUGUAUUUCUUGGUAAAGCUUCUGAGUCUGUUGUGUGUUUGCAUUUAUAGUACGUCUCAGUUCAGAUUAGCUGCAUUUUAAGAAUUCAGUACUAGAGACCUGUGACUAAUGGCUCUCAUGUUGGACAGUGCAGCUUCAAGGAAAGACAGUAGUGCCCAACCAUGAAAGCUAGAUUUACAUCUCCGGAAAACAAAAUGAGUACCCAUUUAACAUAGAUGUGAUGGUUCAGGAGACCAUGAGGUAUAAUUCUGUAUUAUUUCCUGUUUGUCAACAGCCUCUUAAGGAUCAUUGCCGAAGUCACUGAGGAGGCAGAAUUUAGAAACUUUGCAAAGUUUCUUCCAUAAAGGGAAAUGUUGUCUGGGAUUUAAAUGAUAUAUACCAAUCCUUCCGUGAUUCUAUAUUAAGGUUCACAAAUGAAUAUUGUGCUGAGUUUCUCUGCAGCUAUGAUACUGGGAAAUACCGAGCUUCUACUGAUUUUGAUCUCAAAAAAAAAAAAAAAAAAAAAAAAAUGCAGUCAUUGACUACAUUUUAUUUUCCUCUCCUGGAAUCAACCAGUGUUAAGGACAAGCAUCUUUCGGGAUUUUCAUAUCUGCAUAGCUGAGUCAGUGUUGGAAUCAGGGAUGUGGAAUGAUAAAAUUGUGAGGCUUGGCAUUCCUGGCCCUAUCCUCCUCCUCAGAAAAGAAAUCUUACACACUGCCAUACCAGCUGUUGAAUACAAUAAAUAUCUUCCCAGUGUUAGCAUUAGAUUGGAUUCCUAGGGUCUGAUUUUUACCAUGGGAUUGUUUUUCCCUACAGAAAUUAGAGAAAUCACUUAGCCUUUGGCAUAUGUUCAACUGUAACCAGAUCAUGUAGGUCUUCUGCGCCUGAGGCAAGUUAAGCAGAAAGCGUUAGUGACGUGUGCUGAGAACUAGGUUAAACGCAUUUCUCAGGACAAAUCACAAUAGUUUCCUGAUGCUGACAGGGUAGAAUAGAGACACUCAGGAAGGUUGGUCAUUCCCCCAUCCCCUAUCUGUCCAAGUGCUUCUGUUCAUAUUAAAGCCCCUUUUCACUUUUCACCAAAGUAUCUUUGCUUCCAUCAUAGAUACUUCCUUCCCAAAGCUGACAAUGGUUUUAAAAAAGAAGACACCCCAGAUGGACAAAAUUGAUCUUUGGCCCAUGUAGCCUCUCUUUUGUGCCCUUCCCUCACCUUUGCCAGGAAUAUUCCCUUCUCUUCUGAAGAUCUUGGAGAUUGUGUCUGCUGUCAAAACCCUUCUCAGCAGAGAGUUGUGAACUUAUUCAUACCAUAGAGUAGCCUGUUAACAAUAAGGCAUACAUGACACAUAGCUUCUCUCUCUCUCAUAGCUUCUCUCUCUCUCAUAGCUUCUUUCUCUCUCAUAGCUUCUCUUUAUUCCCAAAGUAAUAAAGGACUACCUGAAGAAUAUCAGGCAUUGGCUAGGUAGUUGGAGAUUUUUAAAAGAUGGGUAGAAGAUUAGAACUAAUGGCCCCUGAAAUAGCACUGUGUCUAUCACACGUCUAUCAAGAACUUAGGAAAGGAUGAAAUUGAGAGUCUUCAAGGAAGUCUAUCUUCCCCGGUGGUGCAGUGGUAAAGAAUCCGCCUGCCAGUGCAGGAGACGCAGGAGGUGUGGGUUUGAUCCCAGGAAAGAUCCCCUGGAGUAGGAAAUGGCAACCCACUCCAGUAUUCCUGCCUGAAAAAGACAGAGCCUGGCGGGCUACAGUACGUGGGGUUGCAAAGAGUCGGACAGGACUAAGCGACUCAGCAGGAACAAGUAUGAACCUGCAAUAAUGAUAGGUUGCCACCAGGGGGCACUUAAGUGCCUUGAUUGCGGGGCCAAACUAGCAGACUUAACCAUAGAGAAUAAGCUGAUUUUUACUUUUUAAAACAUGUAGAAUUUAAAUAAUAUUACCAAAAUUAGGUUUAAAUAUGAUUCAUAUGAGUAAGUUCUCAUACAAAUCAAAAGCUAAGAAAAAAUUUGCUACCUGCCUCACUACCCUUAGGCUGCUUUCAUCAUUCAGGGUAAUCCUGUUUGUAGCCCCGGGUGUCAUGACCACAGCCCUGCUGACAGGCACUGAUUCCUUAUUUGGGAACCAUACUCUUUCAUUAGGACGAGGGAGAAUAGUUAAAAGGAUUUUCACAAUUUCAACAGCCCAAAAGUAUUCUGUACCCCUCUCUUUUCCUGUUCUACUGCUAUAUGGAAUGGGAGGGGCAGUUUUCUGUGUUAAAAUGUGGGGAUUAUUUUGUAAAUGUAACUCUGGAGAACAGUCACAUGGUUUUUUUUUUUAAAGAUGAGGUAAUCUUAGCUGAUAUCUGCAAGGUGUUGUAGGAACUUUUCAGGCCAAAUUACUUUAAAAUCACGCCUUAAGAAGAGUGUGACAAUUGUUAAGACAGAAUGCAUGUGACUUAAUUUAUCUGAAACCUUGCCGUGUUCCCCUUGAUUAGAGAUGAGGCAUAAGUGUUUUCUACUAUGAAUGAGUGUGGGACACACAUAGUGAAUUAAUUUAAAUGGAUGCUGAAAGAUGGUGAAGAUGUAAAGAAACCUUAAUGUUUUGGUUUAGAAGGUUGCUCUUAAUCUGGUUAGGUAGUAGGGAGCCACUGAAGGUUUUUGAGUGAGGAGGAUGAUAUUCUUGGAGUGUACAAUUCUUUAGUGGCAAAGAAAGUGAAAAGAAGGAAAAAAAAGCUGAAAGGCUUGGUGAAAGUCUUUAGGACCAGGUAAUAGAGCAAAUGUGGAGACUAAAGAGGAAGGAGGAAUUAAAGAUGACUCAGAUGUUGAGCACAGGAGAAUGAUAACACCCUGAAAGAACAGGGAAGCCGGAAGUCGUUGAAGAGAAAUUAACUUGACCUUGAACAUGUAGAGUCUGAGGAUCAAAUAACAUGUGUGAAGCAUAUUCUCAUGUGAAGCACUAUUUUCAUAUAAUAAAACAAUACCAUUAAUUGCACUUGCCACAAGUAUUUUAAGGGCUUUGCUGGCAGCCCAGAGGUAAAGGAUCAGCCUGCCAAUGCAGGAGAUGCAAGCAGCACGGGUUUGGUCCCUGGGUCAGGAAGAUCCCCUGGAGAAAGAGAUGGCAAUCCACUUUUGCCUGGAAAAUCCCAUGGACUGAGGCGCUACAGUCCAUGGGGUCACAAAAGAAUCUGACACAACUUAGCAACUGAAUAACAACAACAAAGUAUUUCAGAUGGCUCUCCCAGAUAGAGGCUGACACUCAUUGUCAUGAGAUGAUCUCUAAGUCCAGGAGGAAGAACCUCUGGGCUGAGGGAAAUAGAUCCUGGGCUUACUCAUCAGUUGCGGCGAAGGAGAGAAAGCAUGAGAAAGUAGCAAAGGGCACAGAAGUAAUGUAAUGCUAUGCUAUGCUAAGUCACUUCAGUCGUGUCCGACUCUGUGUGACCCCAUAGACGGCAGCCACCAGACUCCCCCGUCCCUGGGAUUCUCCAGGCAAGAACACUGGAGUGGGUGAAGUAAUGUAAUAGGUUACUCCAAAAAGCACAGCAGCUUGGAGAUGAUGACUUUCCUGUGGACAAGCACUUGGAUUUUCAAGUAGGACUGGCUGAGUUCAAAUUUAGAUUCCCUAAUAUAACUAGCAAGAUUAUCUUGGCAACUUACACUUUGGGUGCCUCCGUUUCCCCAUGUGUGUAAAUGGGGCAAUUAAAAGUAUCUGCUCUUUUAGGGUUGGUGUGAGGAUUAAGUAAAAUCAUGCUUGAAAGCACUGAGAACAAUGCCUGGAAUACAGCAGAAAUUCAAAAGCUGUUAAUGGUGCCAGAGGCUAUAGAGGACUCCAGGCUAAUGGGGAGAAGACAAAGACCAUUCUUUUCUUUUGGCAAAGGGGAGGUGAGGAAUGACAUUUUGAAGGAAAGUUUUCUUGGAGUGGUGGUAGGAGAGGACAAAGUUUGUGUUAGAAUGUUACAUUUCAGCCAAAAUGUAGAGUAACAGUAAUAGCAACAACAAUCGGAAAAAUAACAGUUAAUUUUUUCAAACUUGCCUUCUGAUGGGAUUUGUUAUAGAAUUGUUUUCAGAAUUUCUCAUGCACAUGAAUUGAGACUGAUAAAAAAUAAUAAUAUGUAAAAGUAGAUAUUCAACAUUUAUAACACUAGUAUGUUUGCUUUCUCUCAG